This 253-nucleotide ribosomal RNA is filed under the name uncultured bacterium. RNAcentral describes it as "partial 16S ribosomal RNA". It matches the Rfam family "Bacterial small subunit ribosomal RNA", at positions 524 to 776 of the family's 1533-position model. The record is from RNAcentral.
UACGAAGGGGGCUAGCGUUGCUCGGAAUCACUGGGCGUAAAGCGCACGUAGGCGGAUUGCUCAGUCAGGGGUGAAAUCCUGGAGCUCAACUCCAGAACUGCCUUUGAUACUGGCGACCUUGAGUCCGGGAGAGGUGAGUGGAACUGCGAGUGUAGAGGUGAAAUUCGUAGAUAUUCGCAAGAACACCAGUGGCGAAGGCGGCUCACUGGCCCGGUACUGACGCUGAGGUGCGAAAGCGUGGGGAGCAAACAGG